CUUCUUUCAGAAAGCCGUUAUUAACUGCCCGUUAGCUAUUGGUCCACUUAAUAGCUGACAACUGAGGAGCUCACUGAGACUUAUUCUGACUGUUGAAGCCUUCUCUGAAGAGCCAGGCUGGGAGUGGGCCACUGUCAGAGGACGCUCACCUGCUUUCCAGCCACAGCGCCGACUGCAAAGGCCCGUCGACUUGACUAUGCCAUCCCUGUACUGUUUGUUCCAUGAAGACGGCCACCACGGUCCUGUCUGUGGAAAGCUGAGAGUGACUGCCAUCACUUGGGAAAGCUCAGAGCUGAGUGUGGAGAUGGGCAGGAAAGGCCCUGCGCACAGCAGCAUGCUGGGAAGCACAGUGGGAAGCCACAGUAUGUUCAAGGAAACACCAGCCAUUCCACGGGACCCCUCAGAGCUGCCUUUCCAGGGAUCCUGCCUCACUAAUGGAUCCUGUAUGACUUUCCUGAUGGAAUGCCCUAGAAAGAGAGACAUUACAAAUACGCCUUAAUAAAAACGCUCAGGAGAAAAUAUUGAGAUGUGCAUUAGCCCAGGUCCUGAGAUAUGGAGGCCAAGUGGGGAAUAAAGAUUCAAGGAUUUAUUAGGACAAACACAUGUGAGGACAAAUGGGGAGGGAGCGGGAAGAGGCUAGACGAUCCUCCAGAGCACAGAGCAGGUCUGACCCUGAGUAAAGGAGGGAGGCAGGAGCGAAGCUGGUGUGAGAGCCCCCGGCUGCAGUAGGGUUCUAAGGAAAGUUUGCAGGCUUGCAGGGAGUCCUGGAGCCCAAGGAGGCCUGCAUCUUCCGAGGAGGCCGGCCUUCUCUUACCUGCCACACUCAGUCCCUGGCCUGGAGCAGCCUGUGGAUGUCAGAAGGUGCAGCUGGAGCAGGGGCCAGUGAGGUUCAGCCCAGGGUACUCUCAGGGCUACCAUGGGAGGUGAAGGCCACUAUGUAACAUUAUUUCAUCUUCUUGAAGCAUCUGCUGCUCCGUUGAAGAGUCCAGAUACUUUGUGAAAUAGUACAUCAUAUGCCUGCACACCUCUGCUUGCAAUGAAGAGGGAAAGUGUUAUUUCUUAGCAGUUAGAUGAAUAAACUGAGACGUUGUUGAGUGGCAUGAAUAAUCAAUACUAAUCUUACAGAAGACAUAACUAGAAUCCACUUCAGAGUUCUGGUUUCUAAAAUAAAAAUUUUAACCAAAAAUUUGUAUGUUU
Long non-coding RNA from Equus caballus (horse), 1197 nucleotides. RefSeq lists it as uncharacterized. NCBI's taxonomy places the organism in Eukaryota, Metazoa, Chordata, Mammalia, Perissodactyla, Equidae. The record is from RefSeq and is a predicted model, not a curated record.